CGCGUUCGCGUCGUAUGCGUUCUACUUAAGGCGCGCGGUCGCGUCAGUCAUGCGGCCGCGUCGCUGCUUCUUCGCUUCUGGCACGCGAUCGCGUCGUCCAUGCGAUCGCGUGGAUACCAGUUUCUGCAAAACUCCGUUUCACACUUUCCUUCCAUUUUUGUACGUUUUCUUUUCCAUCCUUUAAGUCAUUCUGCCUUAGAAAAUCUGAAACUACUCAACACACUAAUCACGGCAUCGAAUGGAAAUAAAGGCAAUUAAAAUAAUUGAUUUUGAAGCUUAGAAAACAUGUUUUUCACAUACAUCACAUAAUAAGGAAGGGAAAGUAAAACCAUGCAAUUAAUAUGAAUAAGUGAGUGAAGGAUUGAAUAAAUCACUCAAAUUAAGCACAAAAUAACUCACGAAAUAUGGGUUUAUCAAUCUCCCCACACUUAAACAAUAGCAUGUCCUCAUGCUAAAUCCAAGGUAAAGAAUAAGGUAAGGUUAAAGUGGUGGAAUGUUAUGCAAUGCAACCUAUUCUAAAUGCAUCUACCUAAAUGAGUCAUGCAAUUCCAAUUUAUCCACUCAUAUAUAAAGCUUACAUGUAGUCAAAUUAAUUUACAUCCUCAAGGAGUCAUAUAUAUAUAGCCAACCCUUAAAUAAUAAAGCAUUUUAGCAAAUGAGAUGGGAAAUAAAAAUAUUGUACAAACUUGCAAAACAAUUAGUAAAUUAAGCACAGAUAUAUGUUGAUGAGUUAUUAAACCCUCACUGGAUUUUGUGUUUACCCUCUAGUCACUCAGUGUUUAUUGGGGUUAUUCACUCUACUUUUCUUUUUAUUCUUACUUUCUAUAACUUUGUUUUUCAUCUAACUAAUCAACAAUUAUAGAGUACAGUCAUACCAAAAGUCAUGAGGUCUUUAAUUAAGGUUGUAAUGGGGCCAAGGUAAAGGUAAGGAUAUAUGUAUAAGGCUAAGUGAGCUAAUAAGUGAAUCCUUAAUUAGACUAAGAUCUCACCUAACAUACACGUUUAGUAGAACAAGCUUCUUUACCAAUUUUCCCAUAUUAUCCCACUUGUUGUUACAUGCUCAUGUUUCAAUUUUUAUUUUUAUCCCAUGUGCAUUGCUUUAUUUUGAGGAAUUCUUUUGUAUCCUCUUUUAUUGAAUGCUGAAAAAUAACUUUUUUUUUUAAUGCAUAUGGUAAUUGAAUCACUUUGAUUUCUCAUGAGCAUGCUUCCCAAAUUUUAUUUUAUUUCUUUUAACUUUUCUACCUUUUGUUUCUAUCAUCCAUGUUCCCAAUAGGUUUCCCACAUUUUAAUCUAUUCAUAAUUUUCUAUCUUAAGCUAACCAAGGAUUCAACUUGAGAUUUUAUUUUGUUUUUCUGCUUAAGGCUAGUAGUGUGGCUAAAUAGAAUAAAAGGGAUUUUAAAGGCUCAAGGGGGCUAACAAGGGUGAUGUGAAAGGUAGGUUAUUUUGGGGUAAGUGAGCUAAAAUCAAAUAAUGGCCUUAAUCAUUCUUUUGGCAUGUAUCUAGAUCCUAUAAUUGGACAUAUAGAUUAAAUCAAAGUAAAGAACAUCAGAAUAAAAAGAAGCGAAACACACAGGAAUGAAAUUAUGGUUUAAAUGCAACUAUACAAUUAAGCUCAAGACUCACAGGCUGUGUGUUCUCUAACUCAAGCAUCAUAUAUCAUUCAUAUCUGUUAUGCAGGUUUAGUUAAAAAUUUCCAUUAUUCUCAUAAAAAAAUUAUUUAAGGUAGCCUUUAAAGUUUUAAUGUUCCUCCUUGAUGAAAUAUUGUCAACUUAACUAUAUGAUGUAAUGCUAUAUAUACAAGGUUUAUGGAUUUAAAUCUGUUAUGUUCAAUUUCCUAGCUUACUUCCUUUUUAUAUUUUUCAAUUUAAACUAUGAUAUCUUAUGCUAAAAAGGGUAAAUUAUACUAAUUAAUCCACUAAUAAGUCAGAAUUGCCAACUAAACUAAAUAACUAAAAUAUGAACUAAAAAUGCAAAAUACAAAAUUAGAGUAAAAGUAGCAAUGUAUAAGUACUCAGAAAAUAACAGUAAAAAGAAAAAUACAGAAAAAUAUCCAAAAUAAAAGAAAAAAAAAAAGAGAUGUAGUGGUUCACCAAAAUAAAACGCCAGAGAUGGCGACCUCCCCAUACUUAAAAUGAAGCAUCGUCCCUGAUGCUCAGUCAAGCCGGGUGUGAAGGGGUGUCAUCACUGGUAGGGAUGGUAGCUGGAGGCUCUGUGGUGGUGGUGGGCUGAGGGUCUGGCUACUGUAAAGGCGGUGCUGACUGAAUCGGGAUCUCCGGAUCUGCAGCCUCGAUCUGAUGCGUAACCUCCUGAUAUGGUGCAGCCUGCUCUGUGUCUGCCUGCUGAUGGGUCUCCGCCUGGAAGUGAGUCUCCUCCUCGUGCUCAUCCUCCUCCUCCUUUGAUGGCUCUGAUGGUGUGUCGGGCUCGGAGGGGAUGUCACCACCCUGUCGGAUCAUCAGCUUCAGAUGCGAAUGGCGUCGCUGGCUGCGACGCUCCAGUCUCUCAUACCGGCGCCGGUUACGGCGCUCCAUCUGAUCAAGCUAUCGGAAUAGGCGGUGCACGAGGCGGUAUACGGGCUCAGAGGCAGGUGGAGGUGCAGUGGUGGCAGCAGGGGCAACAGGGGAAGCCGUGGAUGAAAAGGGUCCAACUGACGGUGGGGCUGUCUCAUCAGUAGCAGUGAAGGGUGGUGGUCUGUAGCCCAAGGCUAGGAAGUUCCUGCUGUGAGGAAUGAUCUUCCUGCAGUCCGCCGUUGGUGGUCUCUCAUCGGCAUCCUCCCAUGGCACGUCAGCUCGACGGCCUAGCUGUGUAACCAGAUACGGAAAAGGGAGGGUGCCUCGGACGUGGACCCUGGCCAUAUAAUGCCGGAUAAAGCAUGGCAGAUAAAGGUCCUUACCCUCCAUCACACACCAUAGGAGGGUGAUCAUAGCAGUUGGGAUCUCCGUCUCAUGAGUACUCGGCAUGACAUAGUUGCUCAAGAUCUGGUGCCAUAACCGAGCCUCAUCAUUUAAGUACGCCCUCUUGAUCCCUCUAGGCAUGGUGGUGUCCUGACCCAUCUCCCAAGAAACAGUCGGGUCGAGAGCUAUCCGUGCCUUUACAGCAUCCCAAUCAAACUGCAUCAGGCGCAUGUCCUCCUCAGCCUUUGAAUAACCAUCAGGCUUAUCGGACUUGGCUGGGAGCCGGAGAAUGUCCUCUAUGGCCUCCUCAAUGAUCAGAAUCUGCUUUCCUCUCAGGUUCACUGCAUCUAGGGUGGUGAUGUAGUAGUUGCAGUAGAAUUCCCGGACCCAAGAUGCAUUGACCUCUGUCAGUGUUCUCUCCAGAAAGAACCAGCCUCUUUGCUUGAUUUGCUCAGUGGUGUACUGCUGGAGUGCUUCUGGAAUCCUCAGAGUUCUCUCCAGGUAUAGAUUCCUGGAGUUUGCAAAUGCCUGAUACUUCAACUCGCAGUAUCGGUUUGCAAAUUUUAUUGAAUCAUUUGCAGGGAGCAGCUGGUCAGCUUUUUCCUGCUGUGUAAAGUUCUUCUCCCGCCAUGAGGAAUCAUGCAUGAGGGCAAUGAUGGAUUGGAAGGAAUCUCCUCUUUUGCGCUUGCCAGUAGCCUUGCCUUUUCCUUUCCUCUGUGAGGCAGACAUCCUAAAAAAUGGAAAAACCAGGAUAUAUAAAAAUAGAAAAGCAAGUAGGCAAUUAAACAAAGAAAACUCAAAGCGGCAAAGGAGAAUGGGAAAUAGGUAAAUGAGUUAAGUAAUGGUGUAUUGAGGAUUGUAUAGUAGUUUAAAAGUUUGAAAGGAAGAAUUAACAAUCCAAAAUGUAUCAGAAUCCAAGUUAAAUAGAGAAAUUGUCAUAAUGCCAUGGUUAGAAAGUUAGAGGGAAAUGAGAAAAAAUCAGAAAAGAGAUUUGGAAAAAGUUAGUAUGGUUAGAAUUUGAAAGAGGGGUUAGUAAAUUAAAAUUAGUGAAGCAGUAAAAUGUGGGUUCAAGUAAGUGGCAUAAAGAAAAUAUUCCAUGUAACAAGGAUUCACAAUUAUGACUAGAAAUAACUCACAACCUAACAAGGAAAACAGGGUGAUGUUGAUUCAAAGAGAUAUAAAGAAAGCAAGAAUUGGAAUCAGAAUAUCAUAGAUGCAGUUUAUAAACCAGGAAAUCAAAGAGGAUAAGAAAGUCUGCCAUAGCAUUCAUGAAACGGUUUGGAGAAAGCAGUGGAAAAUAGAGUUCAAAUUGCCAAACUGAAAUAUGAAUGAAAACAUUGUUAUAGAAAUUUGGGCAGCAUUCCGGCUAAAAUUGGAUUAUCCCGGAAAAUAAACAGCAAUCAAAGCAGUUCAUAUGAAUUAAAAAGUCAAGCUGCAGGUACAUAAAUAUAAUAUAAACAUGAAAAUUCAAUGUAAAGAGCAGUAAUAUACAAGAAAUAUAGCAUAUGAACAAGAUUACAACAACAGCAGAUUUGCAAAUAUGAUAAAACAGAAGCAAGAACAGUGCAAAUAAAUAGACCUAGAUCCACUAACCACAUCCUAAUCUACCUAACAACCUAAAAUCCACUACAACAUGCAUAUCUAGCUAUCCUAAGCAUGAACAUAAACGAAGAAAAAAUAAAAAAACUACGAAUGGAUAAAAGGGCUUGCGUGUUGCGGAAUCUGGAAGGUGAAAGAAGGAGGUUAGGUAACAGAGGUGGCUAGGGUGGUAGCGGUGACGUCCAGCACGGCGGGUGGCGGCGGUGGGCACGGUGGUUGCUGCUGUUAGGGGGCAGGGGCUUUGGGAAGGGUAAUGGGGGAAAUAGGGGAGAGGGUUGGGGGUUGCGGGUGGUGGUGGGAGCGGCGGGUCUAAACGCACGACUCCAGCACCGUUUCAGCGCAACUCUCUGUCUCCUUCUGGGGUGAUGUGCAAUCCAUGCGACGCGAUCGCGUCGCUCACGCGGUCGCGUGGGAUUGGUAUUUGUGCAAGUGACGCGAUCGCAUGGGGCAUGCGAUCGCGUGAGCCAAUUUGUGCAAAACGCACAAGGGCCGCACGAUUCCAGCCUAACUUUCUGGACGUUGGAUUUUUACGCCGAUCUCCAGGGCACGCGGCUGCGUGGAUGACGCGGUCGCGUGGAUAGUGUAUUCGCAGUAUGACGCGAUUGCAUGGGGCAUGCGGUCGCGUCGUGCAUCCCCCUUUUUUUUAUGCAUGAAAAAUGCAGAAUGCAAUGACUAAUAUGAGUGAGAUGCAAAAUUCCAGGUUCAAUAUAAUAAAAUAAAAUAAAACUUGAAAACAAAUAAAACCAAAUAAAAACUAAAAGAAACGAUCAUACCAUGGAAUAACUGAAAUACCUCAAAUAAUCAUUAAUUCAAAUCAUAACAUGGAAUAAUUCAUAAAUUAAAUUAUAAAAGUAAAUAAUCAACUCAAGUGAUGGAAUAAAUAAGUAAAAGUGAAAAGGGAAGCUUAAAACAAAGAAACAUAAAACCUGGAUCGAGAGUCACUCUUAAAAACUAAGAGAAGUCCUAAAUCCUAAUCCUAAGAGAGAGAGGAGAGAAUCUCCCUCUCAAAACUGAAUCUAAAUCAUGGAAAGUAAUAAAAAUGCGAGCUCCUCCUAGAAUGGAUGCAUUCCCCCACUUUAUAGCCUCCAAUCUGUCCUUUCUGGGCCGAAAACUGGGUCAGAAACAGCCCAGAAAUCGCCCCCUGCGUAUUCUGGUACAUUCAGGUCGCGGACAAGUGACGCGGAGGCGUCGUCCACGCGGCCGCGCGGAUUGAAGUUCGCAGAUGCGAUGCGUCCGCGUGGAUCACUCGUUCGCGUCGCCUAGCGUUAGAGAAACUAUGGCAUAUUAUAUAUCAAAUCGAAGCCCCGGACGUUAGCUUUCCAACGCAACUGGAACCGUGUCGUUUGGACCUCUGUAGCUAAAGUUAUAGCCGUUUGNNNNNNNNNNNNNNNNNNNNNNNNNNNNNNNNNNNNNNNNNNNNNNNNNNNNNNNNNNNNNNNNNNNNNNNNNNNNNNNNNNNNNNNNNNNNNNNNNNNNNNNNNUUUCCAUCCUCUGAGCCAUUCCUGCCCUGUAAUCUCUGAAAUCACUUAACACACAUAUCAAGGCAUCUAAUGGUGAUAAGAGAGGAUUAAUAUUAGCAAUUAUAAGUCCAAAGAAGCAUGUUUUCAAUCAGAGCACAUAAUUAGGAAGGCAAAUGUAAAACCAUGCAAAUAGUAUGAAUAAGUGGGUAAAUAGUUAAUAAAAACCACUCAAUUGAAUACAAGAUAAACCAUAAAAUAGUGGUUUAUCAACCUCCCCACACUUAAACAUUAGCAUGUCCUCAUGCUAAGCUCAAGAGAAGCUAUAAAGAAUGAAGAGGAAUAGUAGAAUAUAUGAAAUGCAACCUAUCUAUAUGAAUGCAACUACAUGCAAAGAAAUGUUUCUACCUACUUGGUUAAAAAUAAAUAAGUUCUCCAAGACAAAAAUAAAUCAGAUUUCACUAAUUCAAAUCAUACAAUAAAAAGCAAGUAAACUUGUAAGAAGAUAGCUCAUGAAAGCAGGGAACAUAGAAUUAAGCACUGAACCCUCACUGGUAGUGUAUAUCACUCUAAUCUCUCAAGUGUAUAGGGUAAUUCACUCUAGUCUUCUCUAAUCAUGCUUUCUAAAACUUUGUUCUUCAUCUAACCAAUCAACAUAUAUUUAAUGUACUAAUGCAAACAUCAUGAGGUCUUUUCAAGGUUGUAAUGGGGCUGAGGUAAAGGUAAGGAUAUAUGUAUGGCCAAGUGAGCUAUAAUAUGAAUCUUCAAUUAACCUAAGCUCUCACCUAAUAUACAUAUACUCUAUAUAAUUUUAAAUUCAUGCCUAGCUACCCAUAAUUCCCACUUUUGUAUAAUUCCCAUACUCAUGUACCAAAUUUUUUUAAAAUUUUUUUUAUCACAUGUGCAUUGAACUUUUAUUAAACUUAAUAUUGGGGUAAUUUUGUCCCCUUAUUUAUUUAUAUUAUAUAUAUAUAUANNNNNNNNNNNNNNNNNNNNNNNNNNNNNNNNNNNNNNNNNNNNNNNNNNNNNNNNNNNNNNNNNNNNNNNNNNNNNNNNNNNNNNNNNNNNNNNNNNNNNNNNAAAUAAACAUAACUUAUCAAUGCACAUGGAUUUUCUAUUAUUUUUCUUUUUUGGUUUUUCAUGAGUAGGUUCCCAAAUUUCCAAUAUUCAAAUAAAUUAGAAACAUGAUACAUUCCCUUAUUAAUCCAUGUUUCCACAGUUUUCCCACACUUAGUUGAUGCACAAUCUCUAUCUUAAGCUAACCAAAGAUUCAAUUGGGAUAUUCAAUUGUUUUUCUGCUUAAGGCUAGUGAUGUGGUAAAAUACAGAACAAAUGGGGAUAAAAAGGCUCAAAGUGGCUGACAAUGGUGAUUUAAAGGGUAGGCUUAUUUGGGAUAAGUGAGCUAAAAUCAAACAAUGGCCUCAAUCAUAUGCAAGCAUGUAAAUACACUAAAUAUUGGACAUAUAGAAUGGAACAAAGCAAAGGUUGCAAUCAUAGUGAAGUAAACACACAAGAAUAAAAUAUUUAUGGUUAAAUAAUGUAACCAUAUAAAUAAGCUCAAAAUCUCACAGGUUGUGUGUUCUUUGGCUCAAAAACCAUGUUUCACAUACAACUUCAAACAAGUUUUAACAUAAAUUUUUUUUUUCAAUUUAAAUUAGUGAAAUUUUUCAAAGAUAGGGUCUUAAAAGAAUAUUAUUACUUUAACCAAGUAGUAACUAAAUGCAUAAAAUCAAAAAAAUAUGCAAAUGCAAUAACUAAUUUAACAAAGAAAAUUUAAACAUUGGUGUUGAAACAGAAAGGUACUAACCCAUGGAGAUCGGUAUCGACCUCCCCACACUUAAAGAUUGCACCGUCCUCGGUGCAUGCUAAGAUGCGCAAGUGGACGGGUGGCUUCAACUGAUGCUUUUCUCUAUAGAUUGUGCAGAUUGACUUGCCUGUCUCCCCAUGUAAACGUCUUCCGGUUCUCUUCCGGGUGGCCAUCCUGAAAGAAAAAGGGAAGAAGAGUAACCCAGAAAUAAGGAUAGGAAAAUAAAUACAGUAUGGGUGGGUUAAUGCCAAAUAAUAAGGGUCUCAAUUACAUGGUAGCUACAACAUGCAAGUGAGAAAACAAUAGAAGCCAUGGCAUGCCAGUGGUACAAAAUGUACAACAAUGGGGAAGGAGAGAUAAUAUAAAUUCAUGUCAAUGCAAAAGUAAUACAGAUAUAAAAGAUUGGCAUUGAUUUAAAUAAUAUUACUCAAUCAAAAUUAAACAAGUCAUGAAGCACCAAGAUAAUACCAGAAAAGAUAUAACCGUUGAAUAAGAACUUUUAACACCAAUGGAAAAUAAUAAAUUUAGAAAAGAAAACAAAAAUAUGCACAAAAUAAAGAUGCAAUGAAUAAAAUAUGCAAAUAAAUUAAGUAAAAUAAAAUAAAAGAUGAGAAGAAUGAGAAGGGAAAGAAGGGGAGAAGAAGUAAGUAAGAAAGGAGGGAGGAAAAAUUAGGAUUGGGGGAGAAAAGAUAAGAAAAUUGGCACUAAUCUGGAUAGGUUGUGCGACGCUGGCGACGCGGUCGCGUGGUGCACGAUAAGGUUGGGUGACGCGGACGCGUGGGGCACGCGAUCGCGUGACUCGAUUUGUGCUAGUGGCGCGAGUGCAGCCUCGCGGUCGCACAACUCUCUGUUUAAAACUUAGUAUUGCCAAAAUCCAGGGUGACGCGGUCGCGUGGUAGGGCUUGGGCUUCCAGCACGAGUCCAGCCCAAUUUCAGCUCAACUUUCGGCCAUACACCUUGUUAUGUCGAAAUCCAGGGCACGCGGUCGCGUGGGUCACGCGGUCACGUGGGAGGCCAGUAUUCCCACUCGACGCGGACGCGUCAGCGACGCGGUCGCGUGGGACGAUUUGUGCCACGGGCACGCCUCCAGCCACGCUCCAGCGUGACUCUCUGUUCGUUUUUAUUUUCUCCCCUCUCCUUGCGACGCGGACGCGUCGCUGAUGCAGUCGCAUCGCGUGGCUUUUUUUUUUUUUGAGAAUGCAGAAUGUAGUAUGCAGAAUACAAUGCUUAAUGUGAAUGCUAUGCAUGAUUCCAGGUUCAAUAAAGUAAAAUAAAAAGAAAAUAAAAAUGAAAGCAAUUAACAAGAAAUAAAUUAAAAAAGAAGCGACCGUACCAUGGUGGGUUGUCUCCCACCUAGCACUUUUAGUUUAAGUCCUUAAGUUGGACAUUGUAGGAGCUUCCUGCUAUGGCGGCUUAUGUUUAAAUUCGUCCAAAAAUCUCCACCAAUGUUUGGAAUGCCAAUAGCCUCCGGGGUCCCAAACUAGGCAUAUGAAGCUUCUGAUCAGCUUCAAGCAGAUUUUCAGGCUCCCGGGAUGACGAAUGUCAGAAUAGAAUCCAUGAUCCCGAUCUUUGUUUUUAAAUCCGCCUCUGUCUUGAUCUAUAUGUUUCCAUCCGGGCGGUUUAAAAAGUAGAAUCUCACCAUGGUGACCAAACGUUCUCCGUGAUCCAUGCAAUUGAGCAUGAUACCAAUCCAUGUACUUCGAGGUGAAGCGUGGACCCUUAUUGAACCUUGUGCACCAACUCUGAGUACGAGCCAUUUCCCUCUUACUCUUAAAGCCGCAGAGAGCUCUAAGCUGGCCAUCUGUUUCAAGUAAACCAUAUUCAAGUGAAUAAGUAAAGUUAAAGGUUAAGGAUUGUACCCACUUGAAGCUUGUAUUAGGUGGUAAUGGCCUUGGGAUAGGUGUUUCUGGUGGUUCUGUAAGUUCUACUCCCUUGUGCUCUUCUGUGAAUUCCUCCACUUCCUUGCAAGGUUCUACAAUUGUAUCAGUGUCCUGAUCAAAGUCUUCUAUGUCUUCCUCAUCACUUGAGUCAUAGAUUGGAGGUUGAGAGAAAUCUACCUCCGCAUCGUUUUCAUAUUCACUUGGGGAAGAUUCUUCGAUCUCAGAGAAUUCACUUGCGGAUGCAAGUUCAUUACUAAGAGAGCUAAACUUGUGACUAUCACUAUCAAGGGAAUUUGUGUCUUGGGUUAUUCCGUCUGAUUCUUCAUAAAUGACUUGCCUUGGGGGUUGUGUACUAUCCUCCUUAGCAUCAAAUGUAACAUCCUUGACGGAGUUCUCCUCAGUUCUGGAUUCCCAUGGAGGUUCAGCAUCUCCUAGAUCUUCAACCAACUCAUCUUCUUGUACAAUGACAGCUUCUUCUACUUGUUCUAGUACAAAUUCAUGCUCUGUCUUGUCCACUGGAGCUUCUGGUAUCUCCUUCAUGCUACGCUCUUCAUUAGACUGUCCACAUGGGGCUGUGGCUGACCCUUGUAUAAUUGAGUGUCUAGAAGCCCAUUGAAUUACUGCUUGCUCCAGUUGUCGAAUGGUUGUUUGAAGUUUAUUUACUGUUUCCUUUAGGCGAACCUCUGCUUCUCGGGUUGCCGGAUUUGGACAGGACACAUAUAGAAGUGGUGGUGGUUGGGAGUGAUUGGAUUGGAAUCUGGGUAAGAAAGGAUCAUAUGGUGGCGAAUGGUGAAGAGAAGCUUGUGAGUGUGGUGGUUUGAGGUUAUGUUGAAAGGAUAGUCUAUAGGCACGGGGUGGGGCUUGUUGGUAGUUACAAGGUUGUCCACCAUAUCUUUCAACUGGGUAUGCAUUGUAGAAUGGUCUUUGUCCAGGAUAUCUCGGAGGGUGUUACUGCCUAAAGGGUUGAUUAGAUCCUCUUGGCUCCAUCCAUCAUUGAUUGGUCUGACCUUGAUGCACAUUCUUGCUGUAACUUCUAUUUCCUUCAACAAAGUUAGAACCAAACUCAAAGCGAGAGGGGUGAGAGUUCAUGGUAGCAAAUAAAGAUAAAAAGGAAGAACAAAAAUAAAUAAACAAGCAAAAGAAAAAUAUUUACAAUAACCAAUAAUAAGGCACACGUUAGCAGUUCUCCGGCAACGGUGCCAUUUUGACGUUGGGAUUUUUGCCAGUAAAGAAGUUCAUAAAAAUAGUCGCGUUGUAGAUAUAGUUUCUAAACCAACAGAAAUCCCUUCGUACAAACGUUUUGGUUGUCACAAGUAACAAACCCCUUAAAAAUUGUUAACCGAGUAUUCAAACCUCGGGUCGUCUUCUCAAGGAACUGCAGGGAAGUAUGUUCUUAUUAUUGGCUAUAAAGGUUGUAAUCGGGGUUUAAGAGGUGAGAAGCAAGUGAUUUAAAUGAUAAGUAAAAUAAAUGGUAAUUAAAAUAAAUAAAUAUUGUAAAGCAAACUUUUGGCAAGGUAAAAGAAAUUGGAAGUCCAACUUAGUUAUCUCUCUCAACAAUAAUGAAAGUUGAAUCUAGAUUCCACUUAGUUAACCUUUACUAAAGCAAAGGAAAGUCAAGGGACUAAUUAGUUUGACCUUCGAAUCCUGUUUAAUUCCUAAGAAAAAGUUGGGAUUAUUGAAGUUCGGUUCAAUUAGCAAGAUAGCGAUUAUCAGCUAUGUUGAGUUUGAUAAUGUUGAGUUACUGAUUUCUUAACCAAGACCAAAAGGGGAAAAAGUAAAAUUGCUGGAAUAAAAAUGUCCGUAGAUGGGAAGCAAUAAUAACUUAAAUUAAAGAGAAAGCAAUCAAUAACUGAAAUACCUCAAAAAAUCAUUAAUUCAAAUCAUAACAUGGAAUAAUUCAUAAAUUAAAUUAUAAAAGUAAAUAAUCAACUCAAGUGCUGGAAUAAAUAAGUAAAAGUGAAAAGGGAAGCUUAAAACAAAGAAACAUAAAACCUGGAUCGAGAAUCACUCUUAAAAACUAAGAGAAGUCCUAAAUCCUAAUCCUAAGAGAGAGAGGAGAGAAUCUCCCUCUCAAAACUGAAUCUAAAUCAUGGAAAGUAAUAAAAAAUGCGAGCUCCUUUUGAAUGGAUGCAUUCCCCCACUUUAUAGCCUCUAGUCUAUGUGUUCUGCACUUGGAUUUGGGCCAAAGAGGCUUCAGAAUCCGCUUUGAGCGUAUUCUGUAAAUUCUGAUACAUGGCCUCUGUCACGCGUCCGCGUGGGUCACGCGGUCGUGUCAUCUGGAGUUUUCCUUGCCACGCGGUCGCGUCAGUCACGCGUCCGCGUCAUAUGCGUUCUACUUAAGGCGCGCGGUCACAUCAGUCAUGCGGCCGCGUCGCUGCUUCUUCGCUUCUGGCACGCGAUCGCGUCGUCCAUGCGAUCGCGUGGAUACCAAUUUCUUCAAAACUCCGUUUCACACUUUUCUUCCAUUUUUGUAUGUUUCCUUUUCCAUCCUUUAAGUCAUUCUGCCUUAGAAAAUCUGAAACUACUCAAC
Molecule: long non-coding RNA, 12164 nt
Filed under: Arachis ipaensis
Lineage: Eukaryota; Viridiplantae; Streptophyta; Magnoliopsida; Fabales; Fabaceae
Description: long non-coding RNA (AIPA_LNC002400)
Source: RNAcentral